Molecule: ribosomal RNA, 468 nt
Filed under: uncultured bacterium
Lineage: Bacteria
Description: partial 16S ribosomal RNA
Rfam family: Bacterial small subunit ribosomal RNA
Source: RNAcentral
GAUGGACGCUGGCGGCGUGCCUAACACAUGCAAGUCGAGCGAUUCUCUUCGGAGAAGAGCGGCGGACGGGUGAGUAACGCGUGGGUAACCUGCCCUGUACACACGGAUAACAUACCGAAAGGUAUGCUAAUACGAGAUAAUAUGCUCUUAUCGCAUGGUAGAAGUAUCAAAGCUUUUGCGGUACAGGAUGGACCCGCGUCUGAUUAGCCAGUUGGUAAGGUAACGGCUUACCAAGGCGACGAUCAGUAGCCGACCUGAGAGGGUGAUCGGCCACAUUGGAACUGAGACACGGUCCAAACUCCUACGGGAGGCAGCAGUGGGGAAUAUUGCACAAUGGGCGAAAGCCUGAUGCAGCAACGCCGCGUGAGCGAUGAAGGCCUUCGGGUCGUAAAGCUCUGUCCUCAAGGAAGAUAAUGACGGUACUUGAGGAGGAAGCCCCGGCUAACUACGUGCCAGCCGCCGCCGUAA